CUGGGUUUGACAUACACCGGAAAGUGCCAGAGAUGGUGCCCCUUUUUGUCGGUGUACAGGUGGUGCAUGGCUGUCGUCAGCUCGUGUCGUGAGAUGUUGGGUUAAGUCCCGCAACGAGCGCAACCCUCGUCCUAUGUUGCCAGCACGUGAUGGUGGGGACUCAUAGGAGACUGCCGGGGUCAACUCGGAGGAAGGUGGGGAUGACGUCAAGUCAUCAUGCCCCUUAUGUCCAGGGCUUCACGCAUGCUACAAUGGCCGGUACAAAGGGCUGCGAUCCUGUGAGGGUGAGCGAAUCUCAAAAAGCCGGUCUCAGUUCGGAUUGGGGUCUGCAACUCGACCCCAUGAAGUCGGAGUCGCUAGUAAUCGCAGAUCAGCAACGCUGCGGUGAAUACGUUCCC
RNAcentral lists this ribosomal RNA (398 nucleotides) under uncultured bacterium. Its description in RNAcentral is "bacterial SSU rRNA". It matches the Rfam family "Bacterial small subunit ribosomal RNA", at positions 975 to 1375 of the family's 1533-position model. The record is from RNAcentral.